Molecule: long non-coding RNA, 483 nt
Filed under: Nicotiana tabacum (common tobacco)
Lineage: Eukaryota; Viridiplantae; Streptophyta; Magnoliopsida; Solanales; Solanaceae
Description: long non-coding RNA (NTAB_LNC011997)
Source: RNAcentral
AGCAUUAGAGUUUUAAACCCUAAACUAAACUCUUUCCUUCAGUCAGCAUUAGGGUUUUAAACCCUAAACUGAACUCUUUCCUUUAGUCAGCAUUAGAGUUUUAAACCCUAAACUGAACUUUUUCCAUUUAAACCCUGGAGAGUCCCUUUGUAAACUGAACUUUUCCAUUUAGUCAGCAUUAGAGUUUUAAACCCUAAACAGAACUCUUUUCCAUUCAGUCAGCAUUAGGGUUUUAAACCCUAAACUGAACUCUUUUCCAUUCAGUCAGCAUUAGGGUUUUAAACCCUAAACUAAACUUUUUCCAUUCAGCCAGCAUUAAGGUUUUAAACCCUAAACUAAACUCUUUCCUUUAAUCAGGAUUAGGGUUUUAAACCCUAAACUGAACUUUUCCCUUCAGUCAGCAUUAGGGUUUUAGACCCUAAACUGAACUUUUCCUGUAGUCAGCAUUAGGAUUUUAAACCCUAAACUGAACUCUUUUCCAUU